Molecule: ribosomal RNA, 426 nt
Filed under: uncultured Pusillimonas sp.
Lineage: Bacteria; Pseudomonadati; Pseudomonadota; Betaproteobacteria; Burkholderiales; Alcaligenaceae
Description: bacterial SSU rRNA
Rfam family: Bacterial small subunit ribosomal RNA
Source: RNAcentral
GGGGAAUUUUGGACAAUGGGGGCAACCCUGAUCAAGCCAUCCCGCGUGUGCGAUGAAUGCCUUCGGGUUGUAAAGCACUUUUGGCAGGGAAGAAAAGGCUCUGGUUAAUACCUGGAGCUGCUGACGGUACCUGCAGAAUAAGCACCGGCUAACUACGUGCCAGCAGCCGCGGUAAUACGUAGGGUGCAAGCGUUAAUCGGAAUUACUGGGCGUAAAGCGUGCGCAGGCGGUUCGGCAAGAAGGAUGUGAAAUCCCAGGGCUUAACCUUGGAAAUGCAUUCUUAACUGCCGGGCUAGAGUAUGUCAGAGGGGGGUAGAAUUCCGCGUGUAGCAGUGAAAUGCGUAGAGAUGCGGAGGAAUACCGAUGGCGAAGGCAGCCCCCUGGGAUAAUACUGACGCUCAAGCACGAAAGCGUCGGGAGCAAACA